ACUGGCCCAACUGAUUGAUGGUGCUUGCACCUGAUUGACGAUGGAUCACCAGUGAGUGGCGGACGGGUGAGUAACACGUAGGUAACCUGCCCCGGAGCGGGGGAUAACAUUUGGAAACAGAUGCUAAUACCGCAUAACAACAAAAGCCACAUGGCUUUUGUUUGAAAGAUGGCUUUGGCUAUCACUCUGGGAUGGACCUGCGGUGCAUUAGCUAGUUGGUAAGGUAACGGCUUACCAAGGCGAUGAUGCAUAGCCGAGUUGAGAGACUGAUCGGCCACAAUGGAACUGAGACACGGUCCAUACUCCUACGGGAGGCAGCAGUAGGGAAUCUUCCACAAUGGGCGCAAGCCUGAUGGAGCAACACCGCGUGAGUGAAGAAGGGUUUCGGCUCGUAAAGCUCUGUUGUUGGAGAAGAACGUGCGUGAGAGUAACUGUUCACGCAGUGACGGUAUCCAACCAGAAAGUCACGGCUAACUACGUGCCAGCAGCCGCGGUAAUACGUAGGUGGCAAGCGUUAUCCGGAUUUAUUGGGCGUAAAGCGAGCGCAGGCGGUUGCUUAGGUCUGAUGUGAAAGCCUUCGGCUUAACCGAAGAAGUGCAUCGGAAACCGGGCGACUUGAGUGCAGAAGAGGACAGUGGAACUCCAUGUGUAGCGGUGGAAUGCGUAGAUAUAUGGAAGAACACCAGUGGCGAAGGCGGCUGUCUGGUCUGCAACUGACGCUGAGGCUCGAAAGCAUGGGUAGCGAACAGGAUUAGAUACCCUGGUAGUCCAUGCCGUAAACGAUGAGUGCUAGGUGUUGGAGGGUUUCCGCCCUUCAGUGCCGGAGCUAACGCAUUAAGCACUCCGCCUGGGGAGUACGACCGCAAGGUUGAAACUCAAAGGAAUUGACGGGGGCCCGCACAAGCGGUGGAGCAUGUGGUUUAAUUCGAAGCUACGCGAAGAACCUUACCAGGUCUUGACAUCUUGCGCUAACCUUAGAGAUAAGGCGUUCCCUUCGGGGACGCAAUGACAGGUGGUGCAUGGUCGUCGUCAGCUCGUGUCGUGAGAUGUUGGGUUAAGUCCCGCAACGAGCGCAACCCUUGUUACUAGUUGCCAGCAUUAAGUUGGGCACUCUAGUGAGACUGCCGGUGACAAACCGGAGGAAGGUGGGGACGACGUCAGAUCAUCAUGCCCCUUAUGACCUGGGCUACACACGUGCUACAAUGGACGGUACAACGAGUCGCAAGCUCGCGAGAGUAAGCUAAUCUCUUAAAGCCGUUCUCAGUUCGGACUGUAGGCUGCAACUCGCCUACACGAAGUCGGAAUCGCUAGUAAUCGCGGAUCAGCAUGCCGCGGUGAAUACGUUCCCGGGCCUUGUACACACCGCCCGUCACACCAUGGGAGUUUGUAACGCCCAAAGUCGGUGGCCUA
RNAcentral lists this ribosomal RNA (1410 nucleotides) under Limosilactobacillus reuteri. RNAcentral describes it as "bacterial SSU rRNA". It matches the Rfam family "Bacterial small subunit ribosomal RNA". Lineage: Bacteria; Bacillati; Bacillota; Bacilli; Lactobacillales; Lactobacillaceae. The record is from RNAcentral.